Long non-coding RNA from Cryptotermes secundus, 242 nucleotides. RefSeq lists it as uncharacterized. Lineage: Eukaryota; Metazoa; Arthropoda; Insecta; Blattodea; Kalotermitidae. The transcript has 3 exons. The record is from RefSeq and is a predicted model, not a curated record.
GCAGGGGGCUCGGCCCAGAGAGGACAAUGAAACCAGACAGCAGCGUCAAACGGGACAGAUUAUCGUGGCCAGUCGCUUCAAUCGCGCCGUGCUAGACAACAUUGCAGUGCCUGACACGAAUGCAGAGGUUCGCACUUCCCACGUUCGCGAGCAACUGGAACAACAAAUGAAGGUCGAACUAUGAUGAGAUACAACUGGACCUUCAUUCUUCGUUGGUGAGUCAAAAUGGCGCUGCGAUAUGA